Molecule: ribosomal RNA, 274 nt
Filed under: uncultured bacterium
Lineage: Bacteria
Description: partial 16S ribosomal RNA
Rfam family: Bacterial small subunit ribosomal RNA
Source: RNAcentral
AUACGGAGGGUGCGAGCGUUAAUCGGAAUUACUGGGCGUAAAGCGCGCGUAGGCGGCUAAGUAAGUCGGAUGUGAAAGCCCUGGGCUCAACCUGGGAAUUGCACUCGAUACUGCUUGGCUAGAGUAUGGUAGAGGGUAGUGGAAUUCCUGGUGUAGCGGUGAAAUGCGUAGAUAUCGGAAGGAACACCAGUGGCGAAGGCGACUUCCUGGGCCAAUACUGACGCUGAGGUGCGAAAGCGUGGGGAGCAAACAGGAUUAGAAACCCCGGUAGUCC